CGCACUUCGAGGUGCGGUGGCCGCAAGUUGGUGCUGCUUGCCGUAUCUGUGCAUCUGCGUGAAAGAGAAAGAAAGAGAGAGAGCAAGCAACUGCCGCGAUUUCAUGGCCAAUGGCAGAAGAAAUGUGCAUAUUUAAUACAGGAAGAAACAACUUACUGCCCAGGCUCAUGUGGAAGGGUAGAGAUGAAGAAGAGGCAUAAGAAGUAAUGUAAAACAAGCAGAAGCAAAGAAAAAGUAUUCAUUGUGCAAUUUAAAAAAAACCAAAUAUUAUGGGUCAGAAAGGAUAGUUCAGAACUGAAAGAAUAAAGUAUUUGCCAGUUAUAUUGAUGAUCAUGUUGCUGCAUCAUUUAGGAUUGUACACCCUUUUCUUAAUUACUUCAAAAUAUGUACUUUGCUAACAUUAUACUUAAGCAGAGAUUAAAAAACAAUGAGUUUUAA
Long non-coding RNA from Crotalus tigris (Tiger rattlesnake), 438 nucleotides. RefSeq lists it as uncharacterized. The transcript has 2 exons. The record is from RefSeq and is a predicted model, not a curated record. Lineage: Eukaryota; Metazoa; Chordata; Lepidosauria; Squamata; Viperidae.